GCCUGCACUCACCACACACAGCAGUGGGGUGAUCGUGCCCCCUUCCACUUCCCAUGCCAGGUAAUUUUAUUUUUCAUUAUCCCUUUAAUGCAGAGCAGGGCCACUGAUUACAAAAAAGCAGUUUGACUCUAGCAAUAGGUCUUCUUCAGUAAUCCUCACUGUCAUGGAAACUCCGGCUGCUACAAGAAUAAGAGGCUCAAUCCAUAUUUGCCAGUUCUAAUAUGAAAUCUGUCAGAGCCCAAAUUAAUGAGUUCCAAAUUCCUUACAUCACGAUAACAGGUUAAGACUGGUCAAUUAAUUACAUAAAUCCUUCCCGAUUCAUUGUGCGUUUGCAGCUCAGAUUGUGUCUUACAUUACUCGGUGACACAAGGCCUUUUGGCUCCUGUUGUUCCAAAGAAAGGUCCCAUUUAAGUGGAGGCUGCCUGCCACGGCAAAAUGUUAAAUGUCACACGUUAAAUGUGCACUUUUCUGUAAUUGCUUUUGUUAAAAAAAAAAAUUAAAGGGGCUCCUAACACAGCACCGUGCUGAGGGCUGGAACUGUACUGAGCACCAGGGCAGGUAGACACCUCUGCUUGCCUCUAACAGUACAUACAGACUUCGGUACCCAUGCGCUGCGUGAAGAAGCCAGAAGGCUGUGUUUGUGAAAAUAAACCCAGAUCCCGUAAGGUCAAUACUAGCGAAUAUAGACAGUUGGAUAUGCCUUUUUGAAAUGAGAGGACUAAAAUUUGAGUCCAGCUUCUCUUGUCAGGUGUAAGAGUACUAUUAGACAUGUAACCCGUGUUGGACCUAGUUAACUUGAAAAGAGGCACAUUACACAAGUGUAUACGAUGUAUGUGCAGAGCUUGUCGCCAAAAAGGAUGCUCCUGAUGGCCUUGCUAUUUAGAUUUGUAACUGAUAGGCACCUACAGAGAAUAGAAUUGAGGACUCAAAGGGCCACAAAUCAUCCAGGCCAAAUGUUUUUUGUUUUUUGAGUGUUUUUUUUUUUUUCUUUUUUAAUGUCCAAAUUAGCUUGGAGUCACAGCUAGGUAGACCGUGAUCUGCCUUGACUCUCAACGCCUAGGGCCACCUCCCCCCACACCCCACUGUCUUGCUUUGUGGCCCGAUGCAAAUAUAGCCCGAACUAUCUCACCACAGGCUUGGAGUCUGGUGAGCACAAGCCAGCAGACGAAGCUCUAAGCAUUGACUGCAGGGUAUCAGCGCGUCGCGCUGCCCGACAGCGACCCCGUCCGUCCACCCGUGGCCUCGCACCACUGGUCAUCCUCAAGUGACCUGGCUCAGCAGCUUGGGGGCCUGCAUCUCCCCACGCGCAGCCCAGAAUCCAGACGCACGCGAUUCUUCCCCAGGAGCAAAAGGCCGGCUCCUGGGUACAACCGGGUCAGACAAGAGAGGGACCUAGCGUAUUGGGCUCCAGUCUGGAAGGUUCCAAGCUCCUGGGAUAAGCGCACAUCGCAGCGUGGGGUCAGCUAAGGCUGGAGCUGGUGGAGCCCUGUGCACACUCUCGGUGGGCGGUGCCUGAAGAACAAAGGCACACGUGCCUCCCCCACCCGCGCCCGGCACGUGUGCGGCGGCUUUGUUUGGUCCUCACUGUCUGGGUGCGGGACGCUGGCGGUGCCCGAGGCAGGUGGGCCAUGGUAAAUCGCUCUCCGCCCGCCCACUCCAAAUGGCUUCCUCCCAUCCCCCACCUGGUUCCGCAGUGCAGUUGCUAUGGGUUACCAGGACGGUUGCUAUGGGUUACCCAACCGAGGAAGCGGGAGCAUGCGUGGGAUGGCAGGAGCUUGCGGGCUGCUGAGCCGAGGCCCACAGGGGUGGGGGAUGAGCUAUAAAGAAGGCCCAGAUCGGUUUUAAUAAAAAGCUGAGGACCCAGAGCAAAGGAGGAGAAAAUAGGAGGGACUUCCAGCCAGACUUAGGUACUCUGGGAAAGAAUUUGCCAGCCCGACACAGAGGAAAAAGCAGCCACCAGGACUAGUGACUGGAGGCUAGGAGAACAGCUGGUAAACGAGGUGUGGUAGUGUGUGCCUGUGAUCCUGCUCUUCUUCAGGAGGCUGAGGCAGAAGGAUGCCACCCGGUCCAAGCUGACCUGGGCUGCCAAGUAUGACCGUGUCUCAGAAAUCAGCAAAUCCUCAGAGGCCUUUCUCUACCCACUAAACAGCUGUACAGAGUGAGAACCAAGUUCCUGACACAGAAAGUGCUUCAGGCAAAGUCAGCUGGUCGGCCUUCAAGCACUCAUCUGGAUAACCCAGAACAGGACCAGCAAGACGGCUCAGCAGACACAAGCACUUACUGCAAAAGCCUGCCAACCUGAGUUCAAUACCCGGGGCCAGCCAUAGGAGAAAAACUACUUUGGGAAGUUAUCCUCAGACCCCUGCACACGCGGCCUGGGACUUGCUCCUGCUCCUGUGACCUGGAACUGGUACUGAUCAGGAGAGGACUGACUGAAGAAUCGGCUGCCGCUAACAAGAGCUCUGGCUUCCCUGGAACAGGAAAGAAGUAUUCCCCAAGGCCAACACACCAAAGCUGUCACAAUGGGGUCAGACUACACCUUGAACUAAA
Molecule: non-coding RNA, 2550 nt
Organism: Rattus norvegicus (Norway rat)
Lineage: Eukaryota; Metazoa; Chordata; Mammalia; Rodentia; Muridae
Source: RefSeq, a predicted model, not a curated record